CAGGCAGGUGGGAGGGUUUGGAGCCUGCCUCACACCAUCUAGUGACUUGGCUGCUUCUUCCAAUGUGAGCCAGGAGAGGGAUCAGGGCUUGGAGGACCAGUCCCUUCCCACCUGUCCAGGAAGAACCUCCUGCCUCUGCCAUAGCAGAAAGCAGCUGCCUCUAAGAUGAGAAUAAGCAGCCUUAGAUCUGGAGACGUUCCGGGACCUGUGGUCCAGGCAAGAAGAUUCAGAGCUGAGCCGCUAGGCAGAUUGGAUGCCAGGAGACACUCGAUGUACCACAUCCCCCAAACAGCUGCACAGCUGGGACUUCAUGCAAUUUACAUGAGGACAUAACUCUACACAGCUUUCUGGGCUUAAGUGGGUUGUUUACAAGCAAACUGCUGUGACCCUUCCUCUGAGACCAUAAACCGGGGAGUUCUCAUGGCUCCCCAAAGCCUUGGGAGCGGCUGGGACAUGUUUCAGGGAACAAGCCUGCACCUGAGCUCUUGGGUUUUUUAAAAAAUUACUUGUUCAUGCUACAGUCAGAUCCCUUUUUCCCAUAAAACGAGAAUCAAAAGUACACAUUCCAUUAAACAUUAAAGAAAAUGUAUGAAACCAUUAGGAA
Chinchilla lanigera (long-tailed chinchilla) is the source of this 604-nucleotide long non-coding RNA. RefSeq lists it as uncharacterized. The record is from RefSeq and is a predicted model, not a curated record. NCBI's taxonomy places the organism in Eukaryota, Metazoa, Chordata, Mammalia, Rodentia, Chinchillidae. The transcript is spliced from 3 exons.